UGAGUAAUGUCUGGGGAUCUGCCCGAUAGAGGGGGAUAACCACUGGAAACGGUGGCUAAUACCGCAUAACGUCGCAAGACCAAAGAGGGGGACCUUCGGGCCUCUCACUAUCGGAUGAACCCAGAUGGGAUUAGCUAGUAGGCGGGGUAACGGCCCACCUAGGCGACGAUCCCUAGCUGGUCUGAGAGGAUGACCAGCCACACUGGAACUGAGACACGGUCCAGACUCCUACGGGAGGCAGCAGUGGGGAAUAUUGCACAAUGGGCGCAAGCCUGAUGCAGCCAUGCCGCGUGUAUGAAGAAGGCCUUCGGGUUGUAAAGUACUUUCAGCGGGGAGGAAGGCAGUGAGGUUAAUAACCUUACUGAUUGACGUUACCCGCAGAAGAAGCACCGGCUAACUCCGUGCCAGCAGCCGCGGUAAUACGGAGGGUGCAAGCGUUAAUCGGAAUUACUGGGCGUAAAGCGCACGCAGGCGGUCUGUUAAGUCAGAUGUGAAAUCCCCGGGCUUAACCUGGGAACUGCAUUUGAAACUGGCAGGCUUGAGUCUCGUAGAGGGGGGUAGAAUUCCAGGUGUAGCGGUGAAAUGCGUAGAGAUCUGGAGGAAUACCGGUGGCGAAGGCGGCCCCCUGGACGAAGACUGACGCUCAGGUGCGAAAGCGUGGGGAGCAAACAGGAUUAGAU
This 680-nucleotide ribosomal RNA is filed under the name Pantoea allii. RNAcentral's name for it is "bacterial SSU rRNA". It matches the Rfam family "Bacterial small subunit ribosomal RNA", at positions 107 to 783 of the family's 1533-position model. The record is from RNAcentral. Lineage: Bacteria; Pseudomonadati; Pseudomonadota; Gammaproteobacteria; Enterobacterales; Erwiniaceae.